UACGUAGGGUGCGAGCGUUAAUCGGAAUUACUGGGCGUAAAGCGUACGCAGGCGGCUGGGUAAGACAGGUGUGAAAUCCCCGGGCUUAACCUGGGAACUGCAUUUGUGACUGCCCGGCUAGAGUCCGUUAGAGGGGGGUGGAAUUCCACGUGUAGCAGUGAAAUGCGUAGAGAUGUGGAGGAACACCGAUGGCGAAGGCAGCCCCCUGGGACAGGACUGACGCUCAUGUACGAAAGCGUGGGGAGCAAACAGG
This 253-nucleotide ribosomal RNA is filed under the name uncultured bacterium. RNAcentral describes it as "partial 16S ribosomal RNA". It matches the Rfam family "Bacterial small subunit ribosomal RNA", at positions 524 to 776 of the family's 1533-position model. The record is from RNAcentral.